RNAcentral lists this transfer RNA (70 nucleotides) under Epicauta emmerichi. RNAcentral's name for it is "Denierella emmerichi tRNA-Lys". Lineage: Eukaryota; Metazoa; Arthropoda; Insecta; Coleoptera; Meloidae. The record is from RNAcentral.
CAUUAGAUGGCUGAAAGCAAGCAUUGGUCUCUUAAACCUUCCUAUAAUAGUUUAGUACCUAUUUCUAAUG